CGGGAUGUAGCUCAACUUGGCAGUCUGUUUGACUCACUGUCUGACAGGUCAUAAGCUAUGGACUGUAGAUCCAUCGGUUGCCGGUUCAAAUCCGGCCAUCCCGACCA
This 107-nucleotide transfer RNA is filed under the name Candidatus Thorarchaeota archaeon. RNAcentral's name for it is "tRNA-Tyr". It matches the Rfam family "tRNA". From Rfam's summary of the family: Transfer RNA (tRNA) molecules are approximately 80 nucleotides in length. Their secondary structure includes four short double-helical elements and three loops (D, anti-codon, and T loops). Further hydrogen bonds mediate the characteristic L-shaped molecular structure. tRNAs have two regions of fundamental functional importance: the anti-codon, which is responsible for specific mRNA codon recognition, and the 3' end, to which the tRNAs corresponding amino acid is attached (by aminoacyl-tRNA synthetases). tRNAs cope with the degeneracy of the genetic code in two manners: having more than one tRNA (with a specific anti-codon) for a particular amino acid; and 'wobble' base-pairing, i.e. permitting non-standard base-pairing at the 3rd anti-codon position. The record is from RNAcentral. Lineage: Archaea; Promethearchaeati; Candidatus Thorarchaeota.